Molecule: small RNA, 124 nt
Filed under: Flavobacterium sp. 1
Lineage: Bacteria; Pseudomonadati; Bacteroidota; Flavobacteriia; Flavobacteriales; Flavobacteriaceae
Description: Flavo-1 RNA
Source: RNAcentral
AACUAGCCCCGAUAGCAGUGAAAUCCUUUUUGUGUUUUUUUUAAACACAAAAGAUUACUUCACCAAUUUAAUAAUUAUUUUGGUGUUCAGUGAAUUACAUUUGCAACGAAUAGCGGGAAUAGCU